CGACCGGCGCACGGGUGAGUAACACGUAUGCAACCUGGCUGUAAGAGGGGAAUAACCCGGAGAAAUCCGGACUAAUACCGCAUAAUACUUAGAAUCCGCAUGGAUUUUAAGUUAAACAUUUAUGGCUUACAGAUGGGCAUGCGUAUGAUUAGCUGGUUGGAGAGGUAACGGCUCCCCAAGGCAACGAUCAUUAGGGGUUCUGAGAGGAAGGUCCCCCACACUGGUACUGAGACACGGACCAGACUCCUACGGGAGGCAGCAGUGAGGAAUAUUGGUCAAUGGACGCAAGUCUGAACCAGACCCAAGUCGCGUGAAAGGAAGAAUGUCCUAUGGAUUGUAAACUUCUUUGGAAGGGGAAUAAAGUACGGUACGUGUUACCGUUUUGUAUGUACCCUUCGAAUAAGGAUCGGCUAACUCCGUGCCAGCCGCAGC
This 432-nucleotide ribosomal RNA is filed under the name uncultured bacterium. RNAcentral's name for it is "bacterial SSU rRNA". It matches the Rfam family "Bacterial small subunit ribosomal RNA", at positions 92 to 518 of the family's 1533-position model. The record is from RNAcentral.